GGGUAGAUAGCUCAGUGGUAGAGCAGAUGAUUAGCAUGCACAAGGUCCUGGGUUCGGUCCCCAGUACCUCCA
Molecule: transfer RNA, 72 nt
Filed under: Camelus bactrianus (Bactrian camel)
Lineage: Eukaryota; Metazoa; Chordata; Mammalia; Artiodactyla; Camelidae
Also listed under: 1 other name
Rfam family: tRNA
About the family: Transfer RNA (tRNA) molecules are approximately 80 nucleotides in length. Their secondary structure includes four short double-helical elements and three loops (D, anti-codon, and T loops).
Source: Rfam by way of RNAcentral